Vicia faba (fava bean) is the source of this 252-nucleotide non-coding RNA. Lineage: Eukaryota; Viridiplantae; Streptophyta; Magnoliopsida; Fabales; Fabaceae. The record is from the annotation of a GenBank genome assembly.
AUGGCGAGCUAUGUAUGGAGAAAAUAUGCAGAUUAUCUGUUCACAAAAUGGGAGAAAACCUUUCUAUGGGACAUGGUUGAACCUUACAGAAGACCUAAAUCUUUCACUCCUGUUGUUGUUACUUACACAGCCGCUUUCUAUACCGGAGUCAUUGGUGCCGCCAUCACCGAACAACUCUACAAGCCUAAUGGGGGUAAUGAUGGUUGGUUGGCAUUCUUUUGGACCAACCAGUGUACUAGAGUUAGAUGGUAA